GAUGAACGCUGGCGGCGUGCCUAAUACAUGCAAGUCGAGCGAACGGACGAGAAGCUUGCUUCUCUGAUGUUAGCGGCGGACGGGUGAGUAACACGUGGAUAACCUACCUAUAAGACUGGGAUAACUUCGGGAAACCGGAGCUAAUACCGGAUAAUAUUUUGAACCGCAUGGUUCAAAAGUGAAAGACGGUCUUGCUGUCACUUAUAGAUGGAUCCGCGCUGCAUUAGCUAGUUGGUAAGGUAACGGCUUACCAAGGCAACGAUGCAUAGCCGACCUGAGAGGGUGAUCGGCCACACUGGAACUGAGACACGGUCCAGACUCCUACGGGAGGCAGCAGUAGGGAAUCUUCCGCAAUGGGCGAAAGCCUGACGGAGCAACGCCGCGUGAGUGAUGAAGGUCUUCGGAUCGUAAAACUCUGUUAUUAGGGAAGAACAAACGUGUAAGUAACUGUGCACGUCUUGACGGUACCUAAUCAGAAAGCCACGGCUAACUACGUGCCAGCAGCCGCGGUAAUACGUAGGUGGCAAGCGUUAUCCGGAAUUAUUGGGCGUAAAGCGCGCGUAGGCGGUUUUUUAAGUCUGAUGUGAAAGCCCACGGCUCAACCGUGGAGGGUCAUUGGAAACUGGAAAACUUGAGUGCAGAAGAGGAAAGUGGAAUUCCAUGUGUAGCGGUGAAAUGCGCAGAGAUAUGGAGGAACACCAGUGGCGAAGGCGACUUUCUGGUCUGUAACUGACGCUGAUGUGCGAAAGCGUGGGGAUCAAACAGGAUUAGAUACCCUGGCAGUCCACGCCGUAAACGAUGAGUGCUAAGUGUUAGGGGGUUUCCGCCCCUUAGUGCUGUAGCUAACGCAUUAAGCACUCCGCCUGGGGAGUACGACCGCAAGGUUGAAACUCAAAGGAAUUGACGGGGACCCGCACAAGCGGUGGAGCAUGUGGUUUAAUUCGAAGCAACGCGAAGAACCUUACCAAAUCUUGACAUCCUUUGACAACUCUAGAGAUAGAGCCUUCCCCUUCGGGGGACAAAGUGACAGGUGGUGCAUGGUUGUCGUCAGCUCGUGUCGUGAGAUGUUGGGUUAAGUCCCGCAACGAGCGCAACCCUUAAGCUUAGUUGCCAUCAUUAAGUUGGGCACUCUAAGUUGACUGCCGGUGACAAACCGGAGGAAGGUGGGGAUGACGUCAAAUCAUCAUGCCCCUUAUGAUUUGGGCUACACACGUGCUACAAUGGACAAUACAAAGGGCAGCGAAACCGCGAGGUCAAGCAAAUCCCAUAAAGUUGUUCUCAGUUCGGAUUGUAGUCUGCAACUCGACUACAUGAAGCUGGAAUCGCUAGUAAUCGUAGAUCAGCAUGCUACGGUGAAUACGUUCCCGGGUCU
RNAcentral lists this ribosomal RNA (1372 nucleotides) under uncultured bacterium. RNAcentral describes it as "bacterial SSU rRNA". It matches the Rfam family "Bacterial small subunit ribosomal RNA", at positions 28 to 1381 of the family's 1533-position model. The record is from RNAcentral.